RNAcentral lists this ribosomal RNA (402 nucleotides) under Verrucomicrobiota bacterium. RNAcentral describes it as "Verrucomicrobia bacterium partial 16S ribosomal RNA". It matches the Rfam family "Bacterial small subunit ribosomal RNA", at positions 355 to 776 of the family's 1533-position model. The record is from RNAcentral. Lineage: Bacteria; Pseudomonadati; Verrucomicrobiota.
UGGGGAAUUUUGCACAAUGGGGGAAACCCUGAUGCAGCGACGCCGCGUGAUUUAGAAGGCCUUCGGGUUGUAAAAAUCUUUUGUAUGGGAAGAAAAUGACAGUACCAUAGGAAUAAGGACCGGCUAAUUACGUGCCAGCAGCCGCGGUAAUACGUAAGGUCCGAGCGUUGUCCGGAAUCAUUGGGCGUAAAGGGUACGUAGGCGGGUAAGCAAGUUAGAAGUGAAAUCCUGUAGCUCAACUACAGUAAGCUUUUAAAACUGCUCAUCUUGAGAUAUGGAAGGGAAAGUGGAGUUCCUAGUGUAGCGGUGAAAUGCGCAGAUAUUAGGAGGAAUACCGGUGGCGAAGGCGACUUUCUGGCCAUAAUCUGACGCUGAGGUACGAAAGCGUGGGUAGCAAACAGG